AAUCUUCCACAAUGGACGAAAGUCUGAUGGAGCAACGCAGCGUGAGCGAAGAAGGUUUUCGGACCGUAACGCCCUGUUGCGAGGGAAGAACAAGUACGGGAGGACCUGCCCGUACCUUUACGGUAACUCUUCAGAAAGCCACGGCUAACUACGUGCCAUCAGCCUCGGUAAUACGUAGGUGGCCAGCGUUGUCCGGAAUUAUUGGACGUAAAGCUCGCGCAGGCGGUCCUUUAAGUCUGAUGUGAAAGCCCACGGCUCAACCGUGGACGGUCAUUGGAAACUGGAGGACUUGAGUACAGAAGAGGAAAGAGGAAUUCCACGUGUAGCGGUGAAAUGCGUAGAGAUGUGGAGGAACACCAGUGGCGAAGGCGGCUUUCUGGUCUGUAACUGACGCUGAGGCGCGAAAGCGUGGGGAGCAAACA
Molecule: ribosomal RNA, 422 nt
Filed under: uncultured bacterium
Lineage: Bacteria
Description: partial 16S ribosomal RNA
Rfam family: Bacterial small subunit ribosomal RNA
Source: RNAcentral